AUGACAGGCUAUCCUAGCCCGUUCCUGUUUCCCCAAAAAAGAGACAUCUCCGGUGUGGCCGCUCCGCCUCCACCUCCUCUCCCUGGCUUCGGCCGUCGCCUUGCGCCCCACCUUCUCCCCUGGCUCUGGCCGCCGCGCCGAGCCCCACCGUCUCCCCUGGCUCCGGUCGCCGCCUCGUGCCCCACCUUCUCCCCUAGAUCCGGCCGUGGCCCGGCGCCCCACCUUCUCCCUGGCUCCGGCCGCCGCCCCGUGCCCCACCUUCUACCCCCGGCUCCGACCGUCCCCCAUGCCUCACCUUCUCCCUCGGCUCCGGCCGUCGCCCCACGCCCCACCUUCUCCCUCGGCUCCGGUCGCCGCCUAAUCCCUCACCAUCUCGUGCCCCUGGCCGCGCCCCAUCCACCAUCCCCAUCGCCGGCCGCCCCCAUCUGCAGCGCGCCUGCCGCCCCCAUCCCCAGCGCACCAACCCCCAGGUCGCCACCUGCCUCAUCGCGACGCCGCCCACUGCCCUUCCUCCUGGCUUCUCCCAGCCAUGUCGAGCGCCUCCUCCCUGCUCCAAGCUCGCUGCAGACUACACAGAGCCGCCAGCCCCCGCCGCCUCCCGUGCUAGUACAACGCCGCCCCUGUACAAGGUUCAAAGAACUUACAGUGAGAAGGAAGGGAGAUGCUAAGGUCCGGCAGCUUCCUCGUUGCCAUCCUGGUAUAGCCCCUCAAGACGACCUCUGGUUCGGCCUUUCGUCAAAGGAGAAAAGAAGACUGAUGUGGUGCUCCUGUUGGAUGUACUCUGGAGAAGAGUUAACAGAAAGUUGUAGCAAAGAACAAAAAAGAAGAAAAAAAAUAUAG
Molecule: ribosomal RNA, 840 nt
Filed under: Triticum aestivum (bread wheat)
Lineage: Eukaryota; Viridiplantae; Streptophyta; Magnoliopsida; Poales; Poaceae
Description: partial small subunit ribosomal RNA
Source: RNAcentral